UAGUUAACCAAGUGGAUUAAGGAAUUUCGUGAGCUUUAAGCAUCCUUAGCUAAGAGUUUGAUUUUGAUGCAGGUUGGUACGAGGAUAUGUGAUGAAGGUGUUUACUUUUGUAAUAGACUUUCAAUAAUGUAAAUUAAGUAAUGACAUCUAUAUACAUAUGUUUACAUAGUUAAGCAAGUGAUAGACUACUGAACUUUAGUUAGUUUUUGGUGUAUGUAACCUAAGAGCUCUUAUGAGGACAGCUUUGUAUGCAUUAAGUAAUGUAUAAAGUAUGUUUUUGAGGUAA
Molecule: long non-coding RNA, 286 nt
Organism: Beta vulgaris subsp. vulgaris (sugar beet)
Lineage: Eukaryota; Viridiplantae; Streptophyta; Magnoliopsida; Caryophyllales; Amaranthaceae
Exons: 2
Source: RefSeq, a predicted model, not a curated record